AGGGGCACCCUGGAGACUGAAGUGCUGUAUUUAUUCACAGAAGAGAUAUGGCAUAGGCAGUGGCAAUGCAAGGUUCCUCACUCUGCCUCCACUAAUGUGCCUUAACCCUGACCUUGGAGGGACCAUUUUUAAGGCAGAAGGUAGGUUAGUCUUAAGAGCCUGUUCCAUGUUUGGUCUCU
Chelonoidis abingdonii (Abingdon island giant tortoise) is the source of this 179-nucleotide unclassified non-coding RNA. Lineage: Eukaryota; Metazoa; Chordata; Testudines; Testudinidae. The record is from Ensembl.